Molecule: ribosomal RNA, 460 nt
Filed under: uncultured bacterium
Lineage: Bacteria
Description: partial 16S ribosomal RNA
Rfam family: Bacterial small subunit ribosomal RNA
Source: RNAcentral
CCUACGGGUGACAGCAGUGAGGAAUAUUGGUCAAUGGGCUAAGGCCUGAACCAGCCAUGCCGCGUGCAGGAAGACGGCUCUAUGAGUUGUAAACUGCUUUUGUACGAGGGUAAAUCCCGAUACGUGUAUCGGGUUGAAAGUAUCGUACGAAUAAGGAUCGGCUAACUCCGUGCCAGCAGCCGCGGUAAUACGGAGGAUUCAAGCGUUAUCCGGAUUUAUUGGGUUUAAAGGGUGCGUAGGCGGUUCGAUAAGUUAGAGGUGAAAUCCCGGGGCUCAACUCCGGCACUGCCUCUGAUACUGUCGGGCUAGAGUUUAGUUGCGGUAGGCGGAAUGUAUGGUGUAGCGGUGAAAUGCAUAGAGAUCAUACAGAACACCGAUUGCGAAGGCAGCUUACUAAACUACGACUGACGUUGAGGCACGAAAGCGUGGGGAGCAAACAGGAUUAGAUACCCUUGUAGUC